AACCUUAUGGACCUGCGGGCGUAUACCUGCGGAGGGAUCAUUAUCAAAACAGCGGCCUUCGGGCCUUGCUGCACCCUUGUCUUUUGCGCACCGUAUUGUUUCCUCGGCGGGCUUGCCUGCCGGUUGGACAUUAUCAAACCUUUUUGUAGUUGCAAUCAGCGUCAGAAAAACAAUAAUUAUUACAACUUUCAGCAAUGGAUCU
This 202-nucleotide unclassified non-coding RNA is filed under the name soil metagenome. RNAcentral describes it as "partial contains 5.8S ribosomal RNA, internal transcribed spacer 2, and large subunit ribosomal RNA". The record is from RNAcentral.